Myodes glareolus (Bank vole) is the source of this 764-nucleotide non-coding RNA. The record is from RefSeq and is a predicted model, not a curated record. NCBI's taxonomy places the organism in Eukaryota, Metazoa, Chordata, Mammalia, Rodentia, Cricetidae.
CUCAACAUAGCAAUGGAAGACUCGGCUCAAAGAGCAGUGUUGUGCGCCCUCUGGUGGAUGCAAGCAGAAAGGUGUCCUUGGCAAGGGCUAUAGACACCAGCAUUGGUGAAUCAAAGGGCUGCAGGCAGAUUAAUACAUAGAAGGUAGGUGGUCCUGGGCUGCAUGAAAAAGCUGAGCAAGCCAGGAGAAAGAACAAGCCAACAAGCAACGUUCCUCCGUGGUUUCUGCCUCUGUUCCUGUUGAGUUCCUGCCUUGAUUUCCCUCAAUGAUGGGCUGUGAUGGGGACCACAUGAGUUCUCCCUCCCCCCAAGUUGCUUUUGCUCGUGGUGUGGUGUUUAUCGCAGCGACAGCAAAUUAGGACAUCCCUUAAAGUCUGAAGGAAGAAAAUGGAUGAUGCUGACCCCCGGCAGGUGACACCUCCCCACACGAGGUGUCCUCAGAAAAGCAAGAGGACAGGUCCAUCCACACAACCUGUCGAUCUCCUCGGCUCUGCUGAACCUUAUAACUAAUCUUCAACUUCAUCAGCCACGAAGUGGUUGUUACAGCCUCCUGAGUAUUAAAUGUGAACGUCAAACUUGCCGUUGGUCACAACAGAACUCCCUACAGACAGGAUGGUUUUGGCCACGCGUGCUAGUGCACACCUGAGGAGGCUGAGGCAGGGUUCCUGAUGCAAGUUUCAGGCCAGCCCGGAUUUCAUGACAAGACUGUCUCAAGACAGAGAAGCGGGGAGGUGGAAGAGGAGACAGCCCGCUUUAGCUCCUUCU